UUACGGUCAAAUCACGCUGAAAACACCGGUACUCGUUCGAUCACCGAAGUUAAGCAUCGUAGAGCCAGGUCAGUACUU
RNAcentral lists this ribosomal RNA (78 nucleotides) under Acanthosepion pharaonis. Lineage: Eukaryota; Metazoa; Mollusca; Cephalopoda; Sepiida; Sepiidae. The record is from RNAcentral.